AUACGUAGGUGACAAGCGUUAUCCGGAUUUACUGGGUGUAAAGGGCGCGUAGGCGGGAUGGCAAGUCAGAUGUGAAAUCUCCGGGCUCAACCCGGAAACUGCAUUUGAAACUGUCGUUCUUGAGUAUCGGAGAGGCAAGCGGAAUUCCUAGUGUAGCGGUGAAAUGCGUAGAUAUUAGGAGGAACACCAGUGGCGAAGGCGGCUUGCUGGACGACAACUGACGCUGAGGCGCGAAAGCGUGGGGAGCAAACAGGAUUAGAUACCCUGGUAGUACACGCCGUAAACGAUGAAUACUAGG
RNAcentral lists this ribosomal RNA (298 nucleotides) under uncultured bacterium. RNAcentral describes it as "partial 16S ribosomal RNA". It matches the Rfam family "Bacterial small subunit ribosomal RNA", at positions 523 to 820 of the family's 1533-position model. The record is from RNAcentral.